Molecule: long non-coding RNA, 402 nt
Filed under: Rattus norvegicus (Norway rat)
Lineage: Eukaryota; Metazoa; Chordata; Mammalia; Rodentia; Muridae
Description: long non-coding RNA NONRATT028210
Source: RNAcentral
CACUCCUGCUGUGCGCAUACGUGCAGGCAGAACACAGAUGGUACCAGACACUCCUACUGUGCGCAUACGUGCAGGCAGAACACGGAUGGUACCAGACACUCCUACUGUGCGCAUACGUGCAGGCAGAACACGGAUGGUACCAGACACUCCUACUGUGCGCAUAUGUGCAGGCAGAACACGUAUGGUACCAGACACUCCUACUGUGCGCAUACGUGCAGGCAGAACACGGAUGGUACCAGACACUCCUACUGUGCACAUACGUGCAGGCGGAACACACUUUUACAUGUUUAAGAGCUAUAAACCAGUGUCUUUCAUGAAUUUAAAUGUGAAAGUCCUUGACAUACUAGGAAUGAAAGACACAUUCUUUAACUUGGUAAAGAAAGCUAUAACAAACCAACAGAC